UGGGGAAUAUUGCACAAUGGGGGAAACCCUGAUGCAGCGACGCCGCGUGAGUGAAGAAGUAUUUCGGUACGUAAAGCUCUAUCAGCAGGGAAGAAAAAAAUGACGGUACCUGACUAAGAAGCCCCGGCUAACUACGUGCCAGCAGCCGCGGUAAUACGUAGGGGGCAAGCGUUAUCCGGAUUUACUGGGUGUAAAGGGAGCGUAGACGGCAGCGCAAGUCUGGAGUGAAAUGCCGGGGCCCAACCCCGGAACUGCUUUGGAAACUGUGCAGCUGGAGUGCAGGAGAGGUAAGCGGAAUUCCUAGUGUAGCGGUGAAAUGCGUAGAUAUUAGGAGGAACACCAGUGGCGAAGGCGGCUUACUGGACUGUAACUGACGUUGAGGCUCGAAAGCGUGGGGAGCAAACAGG
Molecule: ribosomal RNA, 407 nt
Filed under: uncultured bacterium
Lineage: Bacteria
Description: bacterial SSU rRNA
Rfam family: Bacterial small subunit ribosomal RNA
Source: RNAcentral